RNAcentral lists this transfer RNA (56 nucleotides) under Telenomus sp. ZCS-2018. Its description in RNAcentral is "tRNA-Arg". The record is from RNAcentral. Lineage: Eukaryota; Metazoa; Arthropoda; Insecta; Hymenoptera; Scelionidae.
AUAAAUGAUUAUAUUUAAUUUCGACUUAAAUUUAGUAAGUGUAUUUACCAUUUAUA